Molecule: long non-coding RNA, 436 nt
Filed under: Vitis vinifera (wine grape)
Lineage: Eukaryota; Viridiplantae; Streptophyta; Magnoliopsida; Vitales; Vitaceae
Description: long non-coding RNA (VVIN_LNC007396)
Source: RNAcentral
GAAUUUGUGACUGGUUCCAGGGAUAGACCGAACUAGGCAAUGUGUACACGGGCCAAUACUUUGGAACAAAUGGAUGUGAAAAACAAAGCUAUCCUAGAAAAUUUUUGGUCAGCAUGACUCGGGCUAGUCGUUGAGUGAACACAGUGCUGAUGAGACUAGAGUUCUUUGGUGGCAUCCCAUUUCUCGCAUCUCUGGGAGAGAUGAUAUUUACCCUGCUGACUAUAUCCAGCUGGCAACAGAAGAUCCUGUUAGGAUUCAGAGCAAUAAGGAUGCAGUAGGGCUGCGGGUCCAUACAGUGCAGGAUGCAGUUUGUGACUGUUUUGUCCUAUUGGGGCUUUUAGUUGCUGUUAUGAGAGAUAAUAGCCUGCCAACAGGGCAAUUCCAGUACUAUCUCUCCCACUUACACAUGGUUUGCAUGACCACCUUUGAUCCGAGG